GUCAACUUUACGUGCAUGGCGGACAAGCUUAUCCAUGCUUGCCCACAGCAUAGCUAAAAAUCAGGAAUUCCACAAAUUUACCGUAAAUAGUUCCAAAAUCAUUUCAUAUAGAACUCAAUGCAUAAUAUAUAGUAAGACAGAAACUUAACAUUACUUCAGAGAAUCGGUGGCAAAUAUACAGAUAAAACUUGAACAAACAUAUGAGGUUUGUAAUCCUUGUAUUCUAGACAAUAAAACUGCCUGCUUAUAAAUUAUUUGAUCUACCUAAUGCCCUCUGGCCUAAGAAGGUAUAAUAUGAAAUAAUAUCACUGAUACUCCAAACAGAACCUUUCAAUGGAACAGUAGGCGAACCUCUUUUGAAUUAAGAAGCUGAGUGCUUGCCCUCGCACUCAGGAGUCUCGUUGAAGUUAUUCGAUGGAUAUUUAGCGGUAACCAUCCCAACUUCAAACACCAAAUCCUCGUCAUUAGACCUAAUCCCUGUUAUAGACCACCAUUUAAAGAAUGCCCAGACCCGAAUCCCUUCCAGCUUCGCGAUCUGACCCUUAACAAUCUUGCCGGUCACCUUUUUCGAGUAGGUGGCCAAGUAGUUAUCGGGCGGCAGCGUGACUUGACACGUGCCACCGAAGUCGACGGAGAAGUCACCGGAGGACAGAUUGAGAGUAUAGUUGAGGACGGAGGAAGGGAGAAGACCGAUAGGGAAGCCGUAGUUGGUAAGCUCGACGUGGGCGGCGGUUGGGGGGGUUUGGGCGGAGGAGAGAGAAAUGAGAAGGAAGAGAGAGAAAAGAGAGAGAAGUUUCGUCAUGGUUCUGUGGCGUCGUUUUUAGGCGAGAUCUAACUUGUUCUGUUUUGUUGGUUGGGGCUUUCAGCUUUG
RNAcentral lists this unclassified non-coding RNA (871 nucleotides) under Hevea brasiliensis (rubber tree). Lineage: Eukaryota; Viridiplantae; Streptophyta; Magnoliopsida; Malpighiales; Euphorbiaceae. The record is from RNAcentral.